UCAGACUCUCUACAAAGACAAUGCUUCUACUCGCUGUUCUGUUUACUUUAUUCUUACAUAUAGAAAGUAACUCUCAGGUGGAUCAGCCAAAAGAACUGACUGUUCACCAAGGAGAGGUGGCAGAAAUUAACUGUAAUCACAGCAUAACAACAUAUGACAGAAUGUUCUGGUACAAACAGAAAUUCAGUACAGGACCUGAGAAUAUCAUAUCAGGCUAUAAGUCUGCUGAAGAUAUAGGUCCCUUCAGGAUGACUUUCAUUAAGGACAAGUUAGCCACCAGCCUCAUAAUCACAGAUGUGCAGAUUUCUCAUGCUGGGACAUAUUACUGCGCUGUGAACGACACAGUGAUGAAAGGCACCAAGACACAUGUCGUAAAACCUUUAUUUGUUUCACAACACAGUUUAGAAUGGGAGCAGGUGUCACAUCCUCUCUAA
This is a non-coding RNA of Xenopus laevis (African clawed frog), 434 nucleotides long. The record is from the annotation of a RefSeq genome assembly. NCBI's taxonomy places the organism in Eukaryota, Metazoa, Chordata, Amphibia, Anura, Pipidae.